Molecule: ribosomal RNA, 310 nt
Filed under: uncultured eukaryote
Lineage: Eukaryota
Description: partial 18S ribosomal RNA
Rfam family: Eukaryotic small subunit ribosomal RNA
Source: RNAcentral
CCCUUAGAUGUUCUGGGCGGCCCGCGCACUACAAUGGCGCUUUCAGCGAGUUCCUAUGUUGAAUUUUCCUGGGUAUUCUUGGAAGCGGCGUCUUGACUUGGGAUAGAUCCUUGUAAUUGUUGGUUUUGAACGAGGAAUUCCUUGUAAUCGCGGUUGAUCAGCUCGCGUUGAAUACGUCCCUGCCCUUUGUACACACCGCCCGUCGCUCCUACCGAUGAAUCGUCCGGUGAAGUUCACAGAGUGGCGGUUCGUGGAGUUGCUCGCGAAAUGAAAUGGACCUCACGAUUUAGAGGAAGGAGAAGUCGUAACA